UAAAAUUUGAAAAACACGCUUUGCGCAGAACAGCACGGCACACAUGCUUCGGCGAGUUCAUUCAAAUUUCUCGCGCGUGCGCACUUCCUUGCCUGUACCAGUCGUCAUGUGCUUGUUUGCAGGACAAAUGGAUCGUUUUAAAGCCUAGAAUAUCUCCUUUUAGACUGUGCAUCCUGACCUAGCGACCAGAGAAUCUUGUUUUCAAAAACUCAAAGAAACAAAUUGGUUUAGAAUUUGAUGCCUACGGAGCACUGAAUGAUGUUUUUGGAGCCUCGAAAAUCUUGAAUCCGUACACGUUUAAUUUAUGCCUACGACCGAAGUGGCAGAAUAAUGGCGGAUAAAUGCUUUAAGGCCAUAGCUAGGCAUUGAGAAACUUCAAGCACUCUGAUGUCUUCACUUUUCAUCUCUGAAAGGACAACAGUAUACCUUCCUCUUCCGACAUUCACCUAAUGAUAACCAUGGCAGCAUCGCAGGGAGGGCAAGCUAGGCUUGAGAAAACGUCUGUCACUCUGAUGAGGUCUUCAGGUUUUACCUCCAAGAAGACAUGGUAGCUUUCACUUCCAACAUUCCCCAGAAGCUCUCGAGUCAGCUUUCAGGCCAUAGCAUUGCGAAACAUCUUGCACGCUGACGUCUUCACUGAAAGGACAACGGCACCUCCCUCUCCCGACAUUCACCUAAAGAUAACGAUGGCAGCAUCACAGGCAGGGCAAGCUAGGUCGUAGGGUUGAGAAAAGCGUCUGUCACUCUGAUGAGGUCUUCAGGUUUUGAGAAGACACGGUAGCGUUCACUUCGAACAUUCCCCAGAAGAUAACCAUGGCAGCAUCCAACGCAAGGCAAGCUAGGCGGUAGGGUCAGAAAACAUCUGUCACUCUGAUGGGGUCUUUAUGGUUUUACCUCCAAGAAGACAUGGUAGCUUUCACUUCCAACAUUCCCAAGAAGCUUCCUGGUGUUCAAGUCACAAAACUCAAGAAUACUGAACUACAGCAGACUUCCAAUGGACAGCUAAACCUACUACUAGGGCCACAAGAGGGCACCAGUCUACAAAUAUGAAGUCGAGAUUAAGACGGUACCCAAUCAUUGAAUUACGUCCCAAUAGAUCAUCAUUUAUGGGAGUUAUGUACAUCUGGGCAUGAAAUCACUUUACAUAUUAUCCCUAGGUAGUA
Molecule: long non-coding RNA, 1163 nt
Organism: Patiria miniata (bat star)
Lineage: Eukaryota; Metazoa; Echinodermata; Asteroidea; Valvatida; Asterinidae
Exons: 7
Source: RefSeq, a predicted model, not a curated record